GGGUUGUGAGGUUAAGCGACUAAGCGUACACGGUGGAUGCCCUGGCAGUCAGAGGCGAUGAAGGGCGUGCUAAUCUGCGAUAAGCGCCGGUAAGGUGAUAUGAACCGUUAUAACCGGCGAUACCCGAAUGGGGAAACCCAGUGUGAUUCGUCACACUAUCAUUAACUGAAUCCAUAGGUUAAUGAGGCGAACCGGGGGAACUGAAACAUCUAAGUACCCCGAGGAAAAGAAAUCAACCGAGAUUCCCCCAGUAGCGGCGAGCGAACGGGGAGGAGCCCAGAGCCUGAAUCAGCAUGUGUGUUAGUGGAAGCGUCUGGAAAGGCGCGCGAUACAGGGUGACAGCCCCGUACACAAAAGCGCAUGUGCUGUGAGCUCGAUGAGUAGGGCGGGACACGUGGUAUCCUGUCUGAAUAUGGGGGGACCAUCCUCCAAGGCUAAAUACUCCUGACUGACCGAUAGUGAACCAGUACCGUGAGGGAAAGGCGAAAAGAACCCCGGCGAGGGGAGUGAAAAAGAACCUGAAACCGUGUACGUACAAGCAGUGGGAGCACAGGUUUACCUGUGUGACUGCGUACCUUUUGUAUAAUGGGUCAGCGACUUAUAUUCUGUAGCAAGGUUAACCGUAUAGGGGAGCCGGAGGGAAACCGAGUCUUAAUUGGGCGUUAAGUUGCAGGGUAUAGACCCGAAACCCGGUGAUCUAGCCAUGGGCAGGUUGAAGGUUGGGUAACACUAACUGGAGGACCGAACCGACUAAUGUUGAAAAAUUAGCGGAUGACCUGUGGCUGGGGGUGAAAGGCCAAUCAAACCGGGAGAUAGCUGGUUCUCCCCGAAAGCUAUUUAGGUAGCGCCUCGUGAAUUCAUCUCCGGGGGUAGAGCACUGUUUCGGCUAGGGGGCCAUCCCGGCUUACCAACCCGAUGCAAACUGCGAAUACCGGAGAAUGUUAUCACGGGAGACACACGGCGGGUGCUAACGUCCGUCGUGAAGAGGGAAACAACCCAGACCGCCAGCUAAGGUCCCAAAGUCAUGGUUAAGUGGGAAACGAUGUGGGAAGGCCCAGACAGCCAGGAUGUUGGCUUAGAAGCAGCCAUCAUUUAAAGAAAGCGUAAUAGCUCACUGGUCGAGUCGGCCUGCGCGGAAGAUGUAACGGGGCUAAACCAUGCACCGAAGCUGCGGCAGCGACGUUUAUGCGUUGUUGGGUAGGGGAGCGUUCUGUAAGCCUGUGAAGGUGUGUCGUGAGGCAUGCUGGAGGUAUCAGAAGUGCGAAUGCUGACAUAAGUAACGAUAAAGCGGGUGAAAAGCCCGCUCGCCGGAAGACCAAGGGUUCCUGUCCAACGUUAAUCGGGGCAGGGUGAGUCGACCCCUAAGGCGAGGCCGAAAGGCGUAGUCGAUGGGAAACGGGUUAAUAUUCCCGUACUUGGUGUUACUGCGAAGGGGGGACGGAGAAGGCUAUGUUGGCCGGGCGACGGUUGUCCCGGUUUAAGCGUGUAGGCUGGUUUUCCAGGCAAAUCCGGAAAAUCAAGGCUGAGGCGUGACGACGAGGCACUACGGUGCUGAAGCAACAAAUGCCCUGCUUCCAGGAAAAGCCUCUAAGCAUCAGGUAACAUCAAAUCGUACCCCAAACCGACACAGGUGGUCAGGUAGAGAAUACCAAGGCGCUUGAGAGAACUCGGGUGAAGGAACUAGGCAAAAUGGUGCCGUAACUUCGGGAGAAGGCACGCUGACACGUAGGUGAAGUGAUUUACUCAUGGAGCUGAAGUCAGUCGAAGAUACCAGCUGGCUGCAACUGUUUAUUAAAAACACAGCACUGUGCAAACACGAAAGUGGACGUAUACGGUGUGACGCCUGCCCGGUGCCGGAAGGUUAAUUGAUGGGGUCAGCGCAAGCGAAGCUCCUGAUCGAAGCCCCGGUAAACGGCGGCCGUAACUAUAACGGUCCUAAGGUAGCGAAAUUCCUUGUCGGGUAAGUUCCGACCUGCACGAAUGGCGUAAUGAUGGCCAGGCUGUCUCCACCCGAGACUCAGUGAAAUUGAACUCGCUGUGAAGAUGCAGUGUACCCGCGGCAAGACGGAAAGACCCCGUGAACCUUUACUAUAGCUUGACACUGAACAUUGAGCCUUGAUGUGUAGGAUAGGUGGGAGGCUUUGAAGCGUGGACGCCAGUCUGCGUGGAGCCGACCUUGAAAUACCACCCUUUAAUGUUUGAUGUUCUAACGUGGACCCGUAAUCCGGGUUGCGGACAGUGUCUGGUGGGUAGUUUGACUGGGGCGGUCUCCUCCUAAAGAGUAACGGAGGAGCACGAAGGUUGGCUAAUCCUGGUCGGACAUCAGGAGGUUAGUGCAAUGGCAUAAGCCAGCUUGACUGCGAGCGUGACGGCGCGAGCAGGUGCGAAAGCAGGUCAUAGUGAUCCGGUGGUUCUGAAUGGAAGGGCCAUCGCUCAACGGAUAAAAGGUACUCCGGGGAUAACAGGCUGAUACCGCCCAAGAGUUCAUAUCGACGGCGGUGUUUGGCACCUCGAUGUCGGCUCAUCACAUCCUGGGGCUGAAGUAGGUCCCAAGGGUAUGGCUGUUCGCCAUUUAAAGUGGUACGCGAGCUGGGUUUAGAACGUCGUGAGACAGUUCGGUCCCUAUCUGCCGUGGGCGCUGGAGAACUGAGGGGGGCUGCUCCUAGUACGAGAGGACCGGAGUGGACGCAUCACUGGUGUUCGGGUUGUCAUGCCAAUGGCACUGCCCGGUAGCUAAAUGCGGAAGAGAUAAGUGCUGAAAGCAUCUAAGCACGAAACUUGCCCCGAGAUGAGUUCUCCCUGAGACUUAGAGUCUCCUGAAGGAACGUUGAAGACGACGACGUUGAUAGGCCGGGUGUGUAAGCGCAGCGAUGCGUUGAGCUAACCGGUACUAAUGAACCGUGAGGCUUAACCUUACAACGCCGAAG
RNAcentral lists this ribosomal RNA (2927 nucleotides) under Salmonella enterica subsp. enterica serovar Bareilly str. CFSAN000228. Its description in RNAcentral is "bacterial LSU rRNA". It matches the Rfam family "Bacterial large subunit ribosomal RNA". Lineage: Bacteria; Pseudomonadati; Pseudomonadota; Gammaproteobacteria; Enterobacterales; Enterobacteriaceae. The record is from RNAcentral.